UGCUGGCGUAGGAUAAGAGAGUGCUUUCAGGAGAUUUUAGGUUGCUAUGCAUACUUCUGCACCACAUAUACGAUCCUCCCAGAAAAUAAAAUAAAAAUCACUAAGCUUCCUCAUAAAUAUACAACAUUAUUAUGCCUUGGAUUCAAGCGUUGCUUAGCCUUUGUGAAAUUAAUACAAUACCACCACUUAUCAUUUAAAGCUUUUGAUACCCUCAUCAUAUAUUACAAAAAUGACAGCGAAAGAACCACAAAGCAUAAGACAAAACUUCCCUCUUCACUUUAGAGAGAGCAAUAAUGGCUUGCUUACACAGAAAUGUUGGCGAUAUUGUAUUUUUCUUCUCCACUUUGCUCCAAGAAGUUCGAGUGCUGGCUAGUAGAAUAAUCCAGAUGAAAAAUCACAGGGUGUCUCCGGUUAAUGCAUCAGAAGCCGGAAGUUGUCAUCAUCAGUUACAAUAUCGUAUGCAUAUCCAACAUUGUUGGCACGGUUAUGGAACUCAUCCAUCUCAUUUUCAGGA
Molecule: unclassified non-coding RNA, 514 nt
Filed under: Hevea brasiliensis (rubber tree)
Lineage: Eukaryota; Viridiplantae; Streptophyta; Magnoliopsida; Malpighiales; Euphorbiaceae
Source: RNAcentral